ACGGUGCUUUUUCUUCUUCGGAGGGAGAAGUAACCCGGCGGACGGCUCAGUAACACGUGGACAACUUGCCCUUGGGACCGGGAUAACCCCUGGGAAACUGGGGCUAAUACCGGAUAGAGCAUCGGUUGCUGGAAUGCACGAUGUUCGAAAGCUGAGGCACCCAAGGAUAGGUCUGCGGCCGAUUAGGUUGUUGUUGAUGUGACGGAUCAACAAGCCUACGAUCGGUACGGGUUGUGAGAGCAAUAGCCCGGAGAUGGGUUCUGAGAAAAGAACCCAGGUCCUACGGGACGCAUCAGGCGCGAAAACUUUACAAUGUGCGAAAGCACGAUAAGGGAACUCUGAGUGCCUCCUAAGGAGGCUGUUCAGGUGUCUAAAAAGCAUCUGGAGGAAGGGCUGGGUAAGACCGGUGCCAGCCGCCGCGGUAACACCGGCAGCUCAAGUGGUAGCCACGUUUAUUGGGUCUAAAGCGUCCGUAGCCGGCUGAGUAAGUUCCUUGGGAAAUUUGACCGCUCAACGGUUAAGCUAUCAGGGAAUACUGCUUGGCUUGGGACCGGGAGAGGUCAGAGGUACUCCAAGGGUAGGGGUGAAAUCCAUUAAUCCUUGGGGGACCACCGGUAGCGAA
Molecule: ribosomal RNA, 622 nt
Filed under: uncultured archaeon
Lineage: Archaea
Description: bacterial SSU rRNA
Rfam family: Archaeal small subunit ribosomal RNA
Source: RNAcentral